CCUACGGGCGGCUGCAGUGAGGAAUAUUGCACAAUGGGGGAAACCCUGAUGCAGCAACGCCGCGUGGGUGAAGGAGCGUUUCGGCGCGUAAAGCCCUGUCAGCGGGGAAGAAGAAAGACGGUACCCGACCAAGAAGCGCCGGCUAACUACGUGCCAGCAGCCGCGGUAAUACGUAGGGGGCGAGCGGUAUCCGGAAUUACUGGGUGUAACGGGAGCGUAGACGGCGAGGUAGGCCUGAGGUGGAAGCCCGCGGACCAACGGCGGAACUGCUUUUGGAAGUGUUUUGCGGGAGUAUGGGAGGGGUAAGCGGAAUUGCUGGUGUAGCGGUGAAAUGCGUAGAUAUCAGGAGGAACACCGAUGGCGAAGGCAGCUUACUAGACCAUAACUGACGUUGAGGCUCGAAAGCGUGGGGAGCGAACAGGAUUAGAUACCCUUGUAGUC
RNAcentral lists this ribosomal RNA (441 nucleotides) under uncultured bacterium. RNAcentral's name for it is "partial 16S ribosomal RNA". It matches the Rfam family "Bacterial small subunit ribosomal RNA", at positions 338 to 795 of the family's 1533-position model. The record is from RNAcentral.